AUCAUAUCAGUUUUUGAGACAAGUCACCAACACCGUUAAGCUUCAUUUCAUUUUAAAUUCUAAACAAUUCACUUAGAUUGUCAGUAUACUGGUCCACUUAAAUUUUCACACAAAGUUCAAUUGAUCCGAGAUACAAUGUUAAUGUUUUAAGCACUUGAACUUAUCCGUGUGUCCCAUCACUUGAAUAUACUCCCGUAUCCAGAUCCCAAUAUUCAGUCUUACAGUCAUCUUCAGAUGGUGAGUAUACCACAGAUGAUAUCUGUUCAGGGGUUAAAUGCGAGGGCUGUGAGAGCUCAGGUCGAUACUUCCGUAUACGCAGAGAGAUGACGGCUUCGACUUUUCGGUGUGUCCCCUUUAGAGGAUCUUUUUGAUUUCAACAGCAGCGACUAACAAUUUUAUUGUUUCAUCAG
Molecule: long non-coding RNA, 410 nt
Filed under: Helianthus annuus (common sunflower)
Lineage: Eukaryota; Viridiplantae; Streptophyta; Magnoliopsida; Asterales; Asteraceae
Description: hypothetical non coding rna
Source: RNAcentral